CCUACGGGAGGCAGCAGUGGGGAAUUUUGGACAAUGGGCGCAAGCCUGAUCCAGCAAUGCCGCGUGAGUGAAGAAGGCCUUCGGGUUGUAAAGCUCUUUUGUCAGGGAAGAAACGGUGGGAGCUAAUAUCUCCCGCUAAUGACGGUACCUGAAGAAUAAGCACCGGCUAACUACGUGCCAGCAGCCGCGGUAAUACGUAGGGUGCAAGCGUUAAUCGGAAUUACUGGGCGUAAAGCGUGCGCAGGCGGUUUUGUAAGUCUGUCGUGAAAGCCCCGGGCUCAACCUGGGAAUUGCGAUGGAGACUGCAAGGCUUGAAUCUGGCAGAGGGGGGUAGAAUUCCACGUGUAGCAGUGAAAUGCGUAGAGAUGUGGAGGAACACCGAUGGCGAAGGCAGCCCCCUGGGUCAAGAUUGACGCUCAUGCACGAAAGCGUGGGGAGCAAACAGGAUUAGAUACCCUGGUAGUCCACGCCCUAAACGAUGUCUACUAGUUGUCGGGUUUUAAUUAACUUGGUAACGCAGCUAACGCGUGAAGUAGACCGCCUGGGGAGUACGGUCGCAAGAUUAAAACUCAAAAUAGAAGUUAGACGGCGUGAGACGUAGACCGAACGGACGACGACGAGGGAGGAGGG
Molecule: ribosomal RNA, 630 nt
Filed under: uncultured bacterium
Lineage: Bacteria
Description: bacterial SSU rRNA
Rfam family: Bacterial small subunit ribosomal RNA
Source: RNAcentral